AAACUCAACAGUGGCAACUAAACAUGAGGGUUGUUAUAUAACAUCUGUCUGUAACUAUUACAGACACUAGCUGUUGACAUCAUCAACACCAUUGUCUAAUAUUACUAAACAGCAAGGAACUAGUCAAGCAUCAUAAUUUGUACAAAAGAACUAAUAGCAAAGUAAUAAGAGCAGGAACAAGAAUAGUUUCAAGUAAAGAAAUAACAUAGCUGCAGGAGAAAAUCCCAUAUAUAUUUACCUA
Molecule: unclassified non-coding RNA, 241 nt
Filed under: Hevea brasiliensis (rubber tree)
Lineage: Eukaryota; Viridiplantae; Streptophyta; Magnoliopsida; Malpighiales; Euphorbiaceae
Source: RNAcentral